This 425-nucleotide ribosomal RNA is filed under the name uncultured bacterium. RNAcentral describes it as "partial 16S ribosomal RNA". It matches the Rfam family "Bacterial small subunit ribosomal RNA", at positions 354 to 796 of the family's 1533-position model. The record is from RNAcentral.
GUGGGGAAUCUUGCGCAAUGGGCGAAAGCCUGACGCAGCCAUGCCGCGUGAAUGAUGAAGGUCUUAGGAUUGUAAAAUUCUUUCACCGGGGACGAUAAUGACGGUACCCGGAGAAGAAGCUCCGGCUAACUUCGUGCCAGCAGCCGCGGUAAUACGAAGGGGGCUAGCGUUGCUCGGAAUUACUGGGCGUAAAGGGCGCGUAGGCGGACAGCUUAGUCAGAGGUGAAAGCCCAGGGCUCAACCUUGGAAUUGACUUUGAUACUGGCUGUCUUCGAUUUGUGAGAGGUGAGUGGAACUCCGAUUGUAAAGGUGAAAUUCGUAGAUAUUCGGAAGAACACCAGUGGCGAAGGCGACUCACUGGCCCAAUACUGACGCUGAGGCGCGAAAGCGUGGGGAGCAAACAGGAUUAGAAACCCCAGUAGUCC